GGAACCUGCGGAAGGAUCAUUACCGAGUUCUCGGGGCUUCGGCUCGAAUCUCCCACCCUUUGUGAACAUACCUCUGUUGCUUUGGCGGCUCUUUGCCGCGAGGAGGCCCUCGCGGGCCCCCCCGCGCGCUUUCCGCCAGAGGACCUUCAAACUCCAGUCAGUAAACGUCGACGUCUGAUAAACAAGUUAAUAAACUAAAACUUUCAACAACGGAUCUCUUGGUUCUGGCAUCGAUGAAGAACGCAGCGAAAUGCGAUAAGUAAUGUGAAUUGCAGAAUUCAGUGAAUCAUCGAAUCUUUGAACGCACAUUGCGCCCCCUGGCAUUCCGGGGGGCAUGCCUGUUCGAGCGUCAUUACAACCCUCAAGCUCUGCUUGGUAUUGGGCGCCGUCCUCUCUGCGGACGCGCCUUAAAGACCUCGGCGGUGGCUGUUCAGCCCUCAAGCGUAGUAGAAUACACCUCGCUUUGGAGCGGUUGGCGUCGCCCGCCGGACGAACCUUCUGAACUUUUCUCAAGGUUGACCUCGGAUCAGGUAGGGAUACCCGCUGAACUUAAGCAUAUCAAUAGCCGGAGGAA
Molecule: ribosomal RNA, 574 nt
Filed under: Diplodia seriata
Lineage: Eukaryota; Fungi; Ascomycota; Dothideomycetes; Botryosphaeriales; Botryosphaeriaceae
Description: eukaryotic LSU rRNA
Rfam family: 5.8S ribosomal RNA (bases 199-352)
Source: RNAcentral